This 321-nucleotide ribosomal RNA is filed under the name Triticum aestivum (bread wheat). Its description in RNAcentral is "partial small subunit ribosomal RNA". Lineage: Eukaryota; Viridiplantae; Streptophyta; Magnoliopsida; Poales; Poaceae. The record is from RNAcentral.
AUGGGAAGAGAAGAAAGGGAGGAGAGGCGACGAGGCCUGCUGGGAGUGGUUGUUGGCGGCGAGCUUCGUCGGGGUAGCGGGGUUGCGAGGAGGUCGGAGGUGACAAGGGCGUGGACGAAGGAGCUCGGUCUGCAGGAUAGGGCUCAUCUCCUUGCGCGGGCACAUGAGGCAGGGCCUCUGGAAGCAACUUGGUGGGAUCGAGGGGAGGAGUGGAGUGCUCCGACUGGAUGGAUUGAUGGGACAAAGAAAUUGGGGAUGGAUCCCGAGAGAUUUCGAGUGGGUGGCGGCGGCGGACACGGGAUGGAUGGGAUAGAUCCCUAG